Spodoptera frugiperda (fall armyworm) is the source of this 667-nucleotide long non-coding RNA. RefSeq lists it as uncharacterized. NCBI's taxonomy places the organism in Eukaryota, Metazoa, Arthropoda, Insecta, Lepidoptera, Noctuidae. The transcript is spliced from 2 exons. The record is from RefSeq and is a predicted model, not a curated record.
UUGAGGAUAAAGACAACUGGGAUUAUUUAUUUAUACUCCGUUCGGGCAUUUUCUUUGUACUAAAAGUUUAAUUAUAUUGAUAUUAUUUUUUUCAUACCUUUUUACUAUUUAUUUACUUUUUUUCGAUGAAUUAAAACAAUAACAUGAACCGAAGUCGUGUAACGAUCGACAUAGAAUUAUCUAUACUCCGUUAGAGCAUUUUCUUUGUACUAAAUGUUUUAUUAUAUUGAUAUUAUUUUUUUCAUACCUUUUUACUAUUUAUUUACUUUUUUUCGAUAAAUUAAAACAAUAACAUGAACCGAAGUCGUGUAACGAUCGACAUAGAAUUAUUUAUAAAUAAUUUAUUUCUUAUUUUUAUUUUUUGAUUUUUGAAAUAAAAAUAUAUCUUUGUCCUUUCUAAGGUUCUAAACUAUAUCUGUACCAAAUUUCAACCAAAUCCGUCAAAUAGUUGCGGAGAUUAAUGGUAUAAGCAUAGAAUGUUCGACGUGAUUCUUUAAUUUGACAUAACUUUUUUAUUUAUGAACCGAUUGACAUGAAACAAACACUAAAUGUAAAUUUAAGCAUCCCACAAUAUAUUCGUGAAAACCGCAUCCAACUCGGAUCAGCCGUUUCUGAGAUUAGCGCGCACAGACGAACAGACAAACAGACAAACAGACAAACAGACAAA